This is a non-coding RNA of Cyanistes caeruleus (blue tit), 4170 nucleotides long. NCBI's taxonomy places the organism in Eukaryota, Metazoa, Chordata, Aves, Passeriformes, Paridae. The record is from RefSeq and is a predicted model, not a curated record.
AGGUUUCACACUUUUCCUGGGGCCUCUGGGCUCCUGUCCAGGCUGAGAUACUUCACAAUUGACUUUCAUUUUCUGAGGACUGACAGGCCAUCAGAAUGGAACUUUUCUCUGCUGACCACUGCUGGCGUGGGCCCAGGACCACUCUUUCCUCUGGAAACAGGGAGGAGAGGUCAUUCUGGAAAUGCUUGAACCACGGAUGAUUGAGAAAGAAAAGUCAACACUUGCCUACAGUGCAGAGAGCAUGGAACUUAAAGAGUUACACAUAUGAAAAAAUCCAAAUGAGUCAACAAAUACUGUGAGAGCGCCAAAAAAUAGUUUAGCUGAACAUGUGGGCUUCUUGUUUAUGCAAGCUUUUCAGAGAAUGUUUUUCAUAAAAGAGAUGUAGCACUGUUUAACGCUCAGUCACUGUUUCAGGGGAUAUGUCUUGGCUGUGCUGUGUUCAAGACUGCUACUGAAGAAGGAAACAAUUCUCUCCUGAGGCAGUUAUGAUUUAAACCUCUUACUAGGGUGGAGAAGUUUGUUUUAUCCUACUUUUUUCCCUCCCUUUUCGCUCUUAUUGGGCACACGUGGCAUCCAUCAAUUUCUUGCUGCACAUUUUGCACGCAAACACCAAUAGAUAGAAGCAUUGUGUUGCAGCUGCAGUACAAAUGCAUGAAAACAUCCAUUUUUAGGGGCCAAACAAUGCAAAAAAUAAAAUAAUUACAAAGUCUAAUAAAACCUUAAUGGAAAUUUCAGUAAAAUCCAUGUUCAUCAGAUGAUCAUUUGAUCAGAAAUGAUAGCAUAUAGAUUUGACAGUUUAUAUUAUGAUGGUCUGAGGAACAAGAAGCAGGAUUUCAUUGUGUAUUCCUGAAUGCUCAGUGGAUUUUGGGUUGCUUCACCACACUGGUAUUUUUUGCUAUUGUAAUACAAAUAGAAAGUUAGAAUUUCUCAGGAAGAAGGAAACUUUAAUUUUAUCUACUGCUUUUAACACUCAAUUAUUUUUUUCCCGCUUGAAUUACUGCCCUUUAAAAGAAUCCAGUAUGAAUUGAUACUCUUAUUCAUCAUAUUUUCUUCAAAGGAAGUAAUAACUACUCCUGGUGAAACCUUGUCUCUGCUCAUGCCCAUCAAUGCCCUGUUGAACCUGAUGAGAAUUUUAUUUCUGAAUUCAGUGAAUUAUUUAAUUCUUUCCAACCAGAUAUAUUCAGAAACCAAAAGCUUUUGUCUGGCAAGAUACAGUUUCCAUUUUAUCCAAACCAUUGUAGCUCAGGUAAUAGGAAAAGUCAACCCCCUAAUGAAUUCUAAGAGCAAUUCACACCUCAGUUACAGAAUCAUGCUUAAUUUGCUCUCAGGUAUUUAAUGUAUUCUUUAGAUUGUAAGCAUUAAAUUGAAACAAUAGGACAAAUUCUGUUCCCAGCAAUCUUUUACAAAUGAAAAAUUAAAUGUGUGGAUUUAUUCCUGUCUUUGCAACAGGGACACGUACACAGCUUGAACAGAUGCAAAGCAAACUUUAUGCAGUUUAUCUACUUGAUUGCCCUAAUUUUUCAAAUACCUUGUACCUAGAACAAGUAAAAGUGGCUUUCCUGGAAAGCACAGUUCAAGUGCACUAGUUUGUCAUUCCGAAGGAUAACCAUCAACCUCUAUACACAGCAGUGCUAGGUAAGCAAAAUCCUCCAAUACUUAGCUCUGCACAUGAAGAAAAUUAAUUGUGAUAUUGUCAAAUUUUCCUCGUCUUGAAUUUGAGAACCUUGGCCAUAAAGAUGGCUCAUUGUAGCCUGUUAAGGCAUGAGAACAAAUGAGCUGUUUUAUAUAUAGGGCAAGUCAGUGAUUUCAUAGCCAUUUCACUUCCAGAAGUGUCAUAUAUAUGAGUGGGUGAGCCCACCCACAUGGUCCAGUGUUGUGGUCUGGUCGCUCUGUUGGAAAAAGCAAUAUAAAGUCAGUUUUUUGGCUUCUGUCAGUGCAUCCAGAUGAUUUCAAUUUGUUAGGAUUCCACUUGAGUGGUCAGCAUUAGUUUGACAAAACUGUGCCAACAGACAACUCUUUCUGCAGCCUCAAGGAUUUUGGUACACAGUGGGACUAGGCAGAGGUACAGAGAUUUUAGCUUCACAAUUACCCAUACAGCUUCUUAAAAUUGGGUCCAUUAGGUAGCCCCCAUAUAUGCACAAGAGUUUAGUAUGUGGCUUAUAUACAAUAAACACUUUACUGAGCUCAGAUUUCAACUGAUGGAAUAAAGAGAGAUUAUAACAAUAGCUGUUCCUUAGGGAACCAUAAAUUGAGCUAAUUUUUAAGUACAGUUCAGGUUCUGGAAAGUUGCAUGAGACACUAGACUGACCUUGCCCACUAGUAGUCAAAGUGCCAAAAGGAAACAUUAUCAUGAUAAUUUGAGUGUUUGUUUCUCAGUAAUUUAAAUUUCAUGCAGCACAGCAGUGUCACAGAGGCCAUUCCUUUUCAACAUAUGUCCGGCAGCUAUAAGGAUGAAAAGUCCUUUGGAUCAUGUAAAAUAAUCUGCUGAUAACAAACUAAGUUUAAGUAUUCUAGAGGUAGACCUUGAAUUUUGUGAUGGAGUUUUACUAUGCAGUAAAAGAGAGGAAAUAGUCUUGGCUCUUCUUAUGUUCCUGGUGUUCAGCAAGUUAACCAUCAACAUGAAUCCAACCUCAUAUUGGCAAGAAUCUCAUGUCCUCAGAAUUUCCGUCUACUAGUUUCUAUUUCAUUAGAGAGAUGGUGUGUGGAGAACAAAUGGGUUCUCUUUUUAGACAUUCAGACCAUUGUAUAGGUUUUUAAAUCAUCCAGUGGUUUAAAAGUUUUAAAAAUAUUUAGAAUGAAGACUGUGGCAAACAACAUACAAGAAACAUUUCUUACCUAAGUACUGUAUUUACUUGGAAAAGGAAAUUACAUUGCUGAUGCCAUUGAUUAACUCAUUAUCUGCUACAAAGGCUUUGGAACCAACUUGGAAUUGACAGAAAAUGCCUUUCCAGUUCCUCAUCUUGUCUUUCUAUCUUCAUCAAACAUGUAAGUUGACUAAUGGAAAGUGAGAUGCUUCUACAACAAAGUGUAAUUAUGAGUGCCUGGACAGAGAAAAAGAUCAUUUCAUGACACCUUCUUUCCAGCUUUCAGGGAACAAACCUAUCAAGUAAUAGUAACCCAGCUGGUAAGACACGCACAGACUUUCCUGCUUUUCACUGAAUUUAUGGGCUUCCUGAGCCAACUAAGAAUUUUAUGUUUACAGAACUGCUAAAGGCUUGGAAUAUUUUACCGGCCUAACACUGAAUUGAUAUCUUACCGAAGUUAAUAAAAUUCUGAUGCAUAAAAUAAGUGGAUUUUAUUACACAGCAAGAACUUGACCCAUUUAUCAAUAAGAAGCCAGGAUCAUCUCAAUUCCUUGGCACAUUUCUGUGGGAAGUUAUGAACAAUAAGUAACUGGGAUCACUAUGAAUUGACUAUUGUAUGAAGUAGCAGAAAGGCCAAUCAGAUAGAAAUUCUCCUUCUGACUCAGCAAAUACUGAGCUUAAGCCCAACCACUGUCCUAACAGCAAAAUUAUUGUAGUUGUUCAGUCAUGGGAACUGCUAGAAAGUGAAUUUUAUGAGUUUAAUAGCUUCUGUGGCAUCUUCCCAAAAUUAACUAGGGAAAUCACUGGCUUCAGGAUCUAAAAUUCUACCAUUUGUAGGAGAUAAGAAAAGAACAAGCCCACAUUUUAAAUGAAUAUGGGAAAAUCUUGGAUUACAAAGUCAAAAUAUUUUCUUUCCAGCACAGCAGAAACCCAUUUAGAGGAAACUAUGCUCCUACACAAUAAAUCACAGACAUAAAACAGUAUUAAUCUUAACACAUAUGUGCAAACUAGUCAGUAUGCAGACCAAGUCACCCAAACUCCCAGCAAAACAUUCUCAGAGCUCAGGCUAGCAGCACCUAACAACUGCAAUACACUGUUCAAUUCCCUAUUACAGUCCUGAGAUUUAUGAAAGGUCCUGUGUGAUUCUGAGAAAGCAAAGUUCUUCACCCUUUCUGAAGUCAUUCACCCUUAUCUACACUUACUGUGCUAAAACGGUUCAGUAAAAAAUGUAAAUUGAUAAUCUGUGUAUUUUAAAUAAAUGGACAAACUCAAACUAUGUUUCAUUAGCAAGAAAGGAAUUUCUGGAAAAUUUUCUCAUCUCAGUGGAAAUAAAGAGCUGCCAGCUGCAUAGAAAAUGUUGCUUAAA